This is a long non-coding RNA of Armigeres subalbatus, 709 nucleotides long. RefSeq lists it as uncharacterized. NCBI's taxonomy places the organism in Eukaryota, Metazoa, Arthropoda, Insecta, Diptera, Culicidae. The record is from RefSeq and is a predicted model, not a curated record. The transcript is spliced from 3 exons.
CGUAAGUGUGGAAUGCAGGAGAUACUGCACGUACUUCUCCUACCACCGGCCUAUUUUGUCGAUUCUUGCGGUGUCCCGAGAACCGAUGCCAUCCCAGUGAAGUGAAUUAACGUCACUGAUCGUCGUUGGUCCGCUAGUUCAUCUGCCAAAACGUUCGAUUUCAACCAGAAUGACCAAUCAUUGACAUCAGCCGGACAGUCCGUAGCAAAAAUAGAUAAUUGAUCCUGAAAAUGAAACUUGAGUAUUUGAUUCAGCCCAACAGUGGAUUGAUGCAUCCUUUAACAUUCAUCGGGACCACGGCGUACAUCACUUCAAAAGGCUUCAAGCCAACAUAAACAAACGGCCCUUUUCAGGGCCACCAAAUAUUCAUGGAGGAAGAUGUUGUUGAGGCUGUUGUUUACCGAUCUUCUGUUUCUUUAAUACUCUGCUUAUAGUUAUAAACCGAAAUGAUUUUAUAGUAACAAUCGGGUUUUCGCCCAUUUAUUUCCAGGAUAUGCGACAUGUCGAGGAUAUUCCAACCCAGAUUGAAUAUACAGCCCCAUCUUCAAAAAUCAGCACCAAGAAACAUAUUUAGAGUUUCAAAAUAAAAUCUUCUACACUUACGUAAUCCUACGUCCAAUUGGCGGUCGUGUCUCGGAUACAACCUUCUACUUUUUUUGUUUGGGGUCCUCUGUGGCGGAUUUGUCUAGGUCGUUUCUCGAGCGUUUUG